This 329-nucleotide ribosomal RNA is filed under the name Namea sp. Kroombit. Its description in RNAcentral is "partial 12S ribosomal RNA". Lineage: Eukaryota; Metazoa; Arthropoda; Arachnida; Araneae; Anamidae. The record is from RNAcentral.
UCUAAAAACAAAAAGGUAAUACCCCCGGAGAAACCCAUACUUCUUUGACGGCCCUUUUCCUAAUCAAAGGAACUUGUUAUCUAAUCGAAACUACACGUUAAUUUUUGCUACCUCCCAAAGUUUUUAUACCGCUGUCUUAAGAACAUAUUCAAAAAUGUUUUCUAGAAAAAAAAAUUUCACAAGUCAGGUCAAGGUGAAGCCUAUGAGAUAGGACAUAAUGAGUUAUUCUUUAAGAAAAUUUAAGGAUUUUUAUUUAAAAAAUUAAUGAAUUAAGAUUUGAAAGUAUUUAUUGGUUAACAUCCUGUUAAAGAAAGAGUAAAAAAAGGUGC